Molecule: transfer RNA, 79 nt
Filed under: Pectobacterium phage vB_PcaM_P7_Pc
Lineage: Duplodnaviria; Heunggongvirae; Uroviricota; Caudoviricetes
Description: tRNA-Leu
Rfam family: tRNA
About the family: Transfer RNA (tRNA) molecules are approximately 80 nucleotides in length. Their secondary structure includes four short double-helical elements and three loops (D, anti-codon, and T loops). Further hydrogen bonds mediate the characteristic L-shaped molecular structure. tRNAs have two regions of fundamental functional importance: the anti-codon, which is responsible for specific mRNA codon recognition, and the 3' end, to which the tRNAs corresponding amino acid is attached (by aminoacyl-tRNA synthetases). tRNAs cope with the degeneracy of the genetic code in two manners: having more than one tRNA (with a specific anti-codon) for a particular amino acid; and 'wobble' base-pairing, i.e. permitting non-standard base-pairing at the 3rd anti-codon position.
Source: RNAcentral
GCCACUCUGGCCCAACAAAGGUAGAGGCGCUACUUUCAAAAAGUAGGAGUUCCCGGUUCGAUCCCGGGGAGUGGCACCA